Molecule: unclassified non-coding RNA, 160 nt
Filed under: Oryza sativa (Asian cultivated rice)
Lineage: Eukaryota; Viridiplantae; Streptophyta; Magnoliopsida; Poales; Poaceae
Description: partial microRNA MIR455b-6 precursor
Source: RNAcentral
UACUUACUUCCUCCGUUUCACAAUAUAAGUCAUUCUAGCAUUUCUCACAUUCAUAUUGAUGUUAAUGAAUAUAAACAGAUAUAUAUGUCUAAAUUCAUUAACAUCAAUAUGAAUGUGGGAAAUGUUAGAAUGACUUACAUUGUGAAACGGAGGGAGUAUU